RNAcentral lists this ribosomal RNA (492 nucleotides) under uncultured bacterium. RNAcentral's name for it is "partial 16S ribosomal RNA". It matches the Rfam family "Bacterial small subunit ribosomal RNA", at positions 29 to 507 of the family's 1533-position model. The record is from RNAcentral.
AGUGAACGCUGGCGGUAGGCCUAACACAUGCAAGUCGAACGGCAGCACAGUAAGAGCUUGCUCUUACGGGUGGCGAGUGGCGGACGGGUGAGGAAUACAUCGGAAUCUACUUUUUCGUGGGGGAUAACGUAGGGAAACUUACGCUAAUACCGCAUACGACCUACGGGUGAAAGCAGGGGAUCUUCGGACCUUGCGCGAUUGAAUGAGCCGAUGUCGGAUUAGCUAGUUGGCGGGGUAAAGGCCCACCAAGGCGACGAUCCGUAGCUGGUCUGAGAGGAUGACCACCCCAACCGGAAUGGGGAACGGUCCCGACCCCUACGGGAGGGAGCAGUGGGGAAAUUUUGGAAAAGGGGGCAAGCCUGGUCCAGGCAUACCGCGUGGGGGGAGGAAGCCUUCCGGUUGUUAAGGCCUUUUGUUGGGAAAGAAAAGCAGCAGGUUAAAUACCCCGCUGUUCUGACGGUACCCAAAGAAUAAGCACCGGCUAACUUCGUG